CCCUUAGAUGUUCUGGGCCGCACGCGUGCUACACUGAGUGGAUCAGCGGGUCAGGUUGCGCGAAAGUGUUUCCUAAUCUUUAAAUCCGCUCGUGAUGGGGAUUGACGGUUGCAAUUUUCCGUCAUGAACGAGGAAUACCUUGUAAGCGCGGGUCAUCAUCCCGCGCUGAAUACGUCCCUGCCCUUUGUACACACCGCCCGUCGCUCCUACCGAUUGAGUGGUCCGGUGAGGCUUUGGGAUCUGAGCGGAAAGAGCGUUUCGCUGUUUCUGCCCGGAAAACUCAGUCGAACCUUAUCAUUUAGAGGAAGGAGCAGUCGUAACA
RNAcentral lists this ribosomal RNA (322 nucleotides) under uncultured eukaryote. RNAcentral's name for it is "partial 18S ribosomal RNA". It matches the Rfam family "Eukaryotic small subunit ribosomal RNA", at positions 1470 to 1796 of the family's 1831-position model. The record is from RNAcentral.